UACGAAGGGGGCUAGCGUUGUUCGGAAUUACUGGGCGUAAAGCGCACGUAGGCGGCUUUCUAAGUCGGUGGUGAAAUCCUGGAGCUCAACUCCAGAACUGCCUUCGAUACUGGAGAGCUCGAGUCCGGGAGAGGUGAGUGGAACUGCGAGUGUAGAGGUGAAAUUCGUAGAUAUUCGCAAGAACACCAGUGGCGAAGGCGGCUCACUGGCCCGUAACUGACGCUCAGGCGCGAUAGCGUGGGGAUCAAACAGG
This 253-nucleotide ribosomal RNA is filed under the name uncultured bacterium. RNAcentral's name for it is "partial 16S ribosomal RNA". It matches the Rfam family "Bacterial small subunit ribosomal RNA", at positions 524 to 776 of the family's 1533-position model. The record is from RNAcentral.